RNAcentral lists this ribosomal RNA (533 nucleotides) under uncultured bacterium. RNAcentral's name for it is "bacterial SSU rRNA". It matches the Rfam family "Bacterial small subunit ribosomal RNA", at positions 312 to 842 of the family's 1533-position model. The record is from RNAcentral.
ACUGGUACUGAGACACGGACCAGACUCCUACGGGAGGCAGCAGUGAGGAAUAUUGGUCAAUGGGCGGGAGCCUGAACCAGCCAAGUCGCGUGAGGGAUGACGGCCCUAUGGGUUGUAAACCUCUUUUGCCGGGGAGCAAAGUGCCGCACGUGUGCGGUUUGGAGAGUACCCGGAGAAAAAGCAUCGGCUAACUCCGUGCCAGCAGCCGCGGUAAUACGGAGGAUGCGAGCGUUAUCCGGAUUUAUUGGGUUUAAAGGGUGCGUAGGCGGACGCUUAAGUCAGCGGUAAAAUUGCGGGGCUCAACCUCGUCGAGCCGUUGAAACUGGGUGCCUUGAGUGGGCGAGAAGUACGCGGAAUGCGUGGUGUAGCGGUGAAAUGCAUAGAUAUCACGCAGAACUCCGAUUGCGAAGGCAGCGUACCGGCGCCCAACUGACGCUGAAGCACGAAGGCGUGGGUAUCGAACAGGAUUAGAUACCCUGGUAGUCCACGCAGUAAACGAUGAAUGCUAGUUGUCCGGGGCGAUUGAGUUCUGG